RNAcentral lists this ribosomal RNA (426 nucleotides) under uncultured bacterium. RNAcentral's name for it is "bacterial SSU rRNA". It matches the Rfam family "Bacterial small subunit ribosomal RNA", at positions 598 to 1021 of the family's 1533-position model. The record is from RNAcentral.
AAGGCUGUGGCUUAACCAUAGUACGCUUUGGAAACUGUUUAACUUGAGUGCAGAAGGGGAGAGUGGAAUUCCAUGUGUAGCGGUGAAAUGCGUAGAUAUAUGGAGGAACACCGGUGGCGAAAGCGGCUCUCUGGUCUGUAACUGACGCUGAGGCUCGAAAGCGUGGGGAGCGAACAGGAUUAGAUACCCCGGUAGUCCUGGCCGUAAACGAUGGGUACUAGGUGUAGGAGGUAUCGACCCCUUCUGUGCCGGAGUUAACGCAAUAAGUACCCCGCCUGGGGAGUACGACCGCAAGGUUGAAACUCAAAGGAAUUGACGGGGGCCCGCACAAGCGGUGGAGUAUGUGGUUUAAUUCGAAGCAACGCGAAGAACCUUACCAGGUCUUGGACAUCCCUCUGACCGCUCUAGAGAUAGAGCUUUCUUCGG